Molecule: ribosomal RNA, 393 nt
Filed under: uncultured bacterium
Lineage: Bacteria
Description: partial 16S ribosomal RNA
Rfam family: Bacterial small subunit ribosomal RNA
Source: RNAcentral
AUACGGAGGAUCCGAGCGUUAUCCGAAUUUAUUGGGUUUAAAGGGUGCGUAGGUGGUUUGAUAAGUCAGCGGUGAAAGUUUGCAGCUUAACUGUAAAAAUGCCGUUGAAACUGUCGGACUUGAGUGUAAAUGAGGUAGGCGGAAUGCGUGGUGUAGCGGUGAAAUGCAUAGAUAUCACGCAGAACUCCGAUUGCGAAGGCAGCUUACUAAGCUACAACUGACACUGAAGCACGAAAGCGUGGGGAUCAAACAGGAUUAGAUACCCUGGUAGUCCACGCAGUAAACGAUGAUUACUAGCUGUUUGCGAUACACAGUAAGCGGCACAGCGAAAGCGUUAAGUAAUCCACCUGGGGAGUACGCCGGCAACGGUGAAACUCAAAGGAAUUGACGGGG